GUGUUGUAUACAAGGAGAGAAAGUUAGCAUACCUCUUGACAAGGAUGAAAGAGGCCCUCAGGCCUGACAACACACGUACAGUUAAGGCAUUGCCGCCUACUUUGUGGCGUCUGACCAUUCUUA
Molecule: small nuclear RNA, 123 nt
Organism: Callithrix jacchus (white-tufted-ear marmoset)
Lineage: Eukaryota; Metazoa; Chordata; Mammalia; Primates; Cebidae
Source: Ensembl